Non-coding RNA from Bactrocera oleae (olive fruit fly), 168 nucleotides. The record is from RefSeq and is a predicted model, not a curated record. Lineage: Eukaryota; Metazoa; Arthropoda; Insecta; Diptera; Tephritidae.
AUUACAAAUGGCGAGUUUUUCUCAUUUGGAAUAUUUGGAUUACGUUACAAAUUCUUCAACCGUUGAACAACCACAAAGACUUCGCAAACCCUGUAAAAAGAACAAUUCUUAGCGCAUUUCCGUUUCCAUUGCGUGACGUGAACAAUUUUCAGAGAUAAGUAAUUUAAU